GUUUGUCUUUACAUGUACAUUUGUGGGACAUGAAGUGAAGAAGGCUGUGGCGGUGAUUCUUUCGGGUUAUUAUUUCUGGUAGAAAUACACCUGAGUAAUAUAAGAAAGUACUCAAAGGAUAGGCCGGAGGCAUAGGUUUAUUACUCCAGGGAUCGGCAUGUCGCUGAACCAUAGCGGCAUAUCAUCAGACACUUUUCCAUCUCGGCGUCACUCCAGAGAGAGCUGGGCUAACGCUACACAAAAGGCAACAUGAAAUAAACACUUAUGUGAGUAGGUUUACAUUUAUCAUUGUAAAGCGACUUUGAGUUCUAGAAAAGCGUUAUAGAAAUUCAAUGUAUUAUAAUUAUAAUUAUAAACAGAACCAGUGGCGUGCUUUGCUCGGGCUGUGUCAUUCCUGUUAUUGCUAUUAUUAGAAAUUCAUGGGUACAGCAAUGUCGCAUAACAAAAAGGACACGCCUAUCUUGAGCCAUAAAGUAAAAGUAGCAUAGAAUGGAAACACUCAAAGUCAUAAAGUCAUCCUUAAUUUGUACAUCCGGAUGUUUUUUUCAAUCUGUUCUCAAACUGCAAGUCUCUGGCCCGGGUGCCAACGUCACCCAGCCACCCGCCCAAGUCUGCCCAUACAGGGGAAAAGGCGUGACAAUUGAGAAGCCGGGUAGACGUCUCACUGGCCAAUAACAAGCAAAGGGUGCACACACACUCAGACGGCCCGUGCAAUCAGCGCACGCUUUCGGCACAAGUGUCUUACAUCGCUUUCAGAGAUGUCUUUAAUUUGUCAUCGGUCCUCUGACCCAAACAACCACGUGGUUCUGCUGUACGAUAACAACAAUGAAAAAGGUCACCUGUAUAUGGGGAAUGAUACAUCUCCACUCUGCAAUUACACCUCCCCUCCUCCACUCUCCUGUGUGGUGUGUUUCGAGCAGUUUGUCUACACCGUUUGCUCCGACCUGCAGAAGAACGUAACACUGGUGAUGGAGGGAAGUGGAAAACCAAUGGAUCUUAUAAAGAGCGAGUGCCCCACCCUUCUUGGUAAUGCCACAAAUGAAAAUGCUGACUUGCCUGUAAACCACGCGGGUGCUUGGGAAUGGUGGAUGAUCCUCCUCCUCGUCCUCCUCGUCCUCCUCAUCCUCGCCGUCAUCAUUUCCGCUUUGGUGAUUUACUGCAGACGAGGACAGACUGCAGUCAACUUCCGGCAGGUGAACUCUGAAGCUGAAGCUGAAACUGCAGUGCGGGUCAAGUGCAAAGCAAGACAGAGAGAUGGAUGAGGACAGACACGUCAAUGUCAAUACUCCCAGAAGAAGAAGUCCCAUUCACCUUGUCUAGUUUCACCACCAAUGGAAAUGCCCAGUUUAACGUGAAUUAAAGCUAAUGCUAGUAGGCCAAUCUUAAGAAGGCUACAGAGUUAUUUCACACUGCGGAAGCAAUACAAUCAUUUUAAAAUCAAUAAAAUACAAUUUAAACC
This 1459-nucleotide long non-coding RNA is filed under the name Cottoperca gobio. RNAcentral describes it as "lncRNA (ENSCGOG00000000110.1)". Lineage: Eukaryota; Metazoa; Chordata; Actinopteri; Perciformes; Bovichtidae. The record is from RNAcentral.